Molecule: long non-coding RNA, 347 nt
Organism: Pyrus x bretschneideri (Chinese white pear)
Lineage: Eukaryota; Viridiplantae; Streptophyta; Magnoliopsida; Rosales; Rosaceae
Exons: 3
Source: RefSeq, a predicted model, not a curated record
CUCUCUUUUUCCCGUAGACCUCUCUCUCAUUUCGCAAGCUUGAACCCCAAAUCUUGAACCCAAACCUGUCUUUCCUCUUCACAAUCUCGAAUCCAACCACCACCACUACUUUGUCCGUUGUCUCUCCCCCUCUCGUUCUAAAUGACGGGCAGCCAUGCGAAUCUCGAAGUUGAUGCGAAUCAAGUCCCAAAAUCAUGAGGAUUAUCAGCAAUAAACGUGAAAGGGAAAAUUGAAGGCGACAUUGGGGGCCUCUCUGAAUUAAGAUCCUUGGAUCUUUCAUUCAACAAAGGUCUCAUCGGUUCUCUCUCUCUCCACGAUUAGGGGAUCUGAGCAAGCUAAACAUCCUU